This 305-nucleotide ribosomal RNA is filed under the name uncultured bacterium. RNAcentral describes it as "bacterial SSU rRNA". It matches the Rfam family "Bacterial small subunit ribosomal RNA", at positions 335 to 657 of the family's 1533-position model. The record is from RNAcentral.
UCCCCUACGGGGCGCAGCAGUGGGGAAUAUUGCACAAUGGGGGGAACCCUGAUGCAGCGACGCCGCGUGGGUGAAGGAGUACUUCGGUACGUAAAGCCCUAUCAGCAGGAAAGGAAAUGACGGUACCUGACUAAGAAGCCCCGGCUAACUACGUGCCAGCAGCCGCGGUAAUACGUAGGGGGCAAGCGUUAUCCGGAUUUACUGGGUGUAAAGGGAGCGUAGACGGCAGUGCAAGUCCAGAGUGAAAGCCCGGGGCUCAACCCUGGGACGGCUCUGGAAACUGUAACGCUGGAGUGCGUGAGGGG